GUCUACGACCAUACCAUCCUGUAUGUUCCUGAUCUCGUCUGAUCUUGGAAGGUAAGCAGGGUCGGGCCUGGUUAGUACUUGGAUGGAAGACUGCCUGGGAAUACCGGGUGCUUUCACU
This is a ribosomal RNA of Neogale vison (American mink), 118 nucleotides long. The record is from Ensembl. Lineage: Eukaryota; Metazoa; Chordata; Mammalia; Carnivora; Mustelidae.